GGCGGCAGGCCUAACACACGCAAGUCGAGCGGUAGAGAGAAGCUUGCUUCUCUUGAGAGUGGCGGACGGGUGAGUAAUGCCUAGGAAUCUGCCUGGUAGUGGGGGAUAACGUUCGGAAACGGACGCUAAUACCGCAUACGUCCUACGGGAGAAAGCAGGGGACCUUCGGGCCUUGCGCUAUCAGAUGAGCCUAGGUCGGAUUAGCUAGUUGGUGAGGUAAUGGCUCACCAAGGCGACGAUCCGUAACUGGUCUGAGAGGAUGAUCAGUCACACUGGAACUGAGACACGGUCCAGACUCCUACGGGAGGCAGCAGUGGGGAAUAUUGGACAAUGGGCGAAAGCCUGAUCCAGCCAUGCCGCGUGUGUGAAGAAGGUCUUCGGAUUGUAAAGCACUUUAAGUUGGGAGGAAGGGUUGUAGAUUAAUACUCUGCAAUUUUGACGUUACCGACAGAAUAAGCACCGGCUAACUCUGUGCCAGCAGCCGCGGUAAUACAGAGGGUGCAAGCGUUAAUCGGAAUUACUGGGCGUAAAGCGCGCGUAGGUGGUUUGUUAAGUUGGAUGUGAAAUCCCCGGGCUCAACCUGGGAACUGCAUUCAAAACUGACUGACUAGAGUAUGGUAGAGGGUGGUGGAAUUUCCUGUGUAGCGGUGAAAUGCGUAGAUAUAGGAAGGAACACCAGUGGCGAAGGCGACCACCUGGACUAAUACUGACACUGAGGUGCGAAAGCGUGGGGAGCAAACAGGAUUAGAUACCCUGGUAGUCC
RNAcentral lists this ribosomal RNA (763 nucleotides) under uncultured bacterium. Its description in RNAcentral is "bacterial SSU rRNA". It matches the Rfam family "Bacterial small subunit ribosomal RNA", at positions 38 to 796 of the family's 1533-position model. The record is from RNAcentral.